AUACGUAGGGAGCAAGCGUUGUCCGGAUUUACUGGGUGUAAAGGGUGCGUAGGCGGCUUGGUAAGUCAGAUGUGAAAUCUAUGGGCUCAACCCAUAAACUGCAUUUGAAACUAUCGAGCUUGAGUGAAGUAGAGGCAGGCGGAAUUCCCUGUGUAGCGGGGAAAUGUGAAGAGAUAGGGAGGAACACCAGUGUAGAAGGCGGCCUGCUGGGCUUUAACUGACGCUGAGGCACGAAAUCGUGGGUAGCAAACGGGAUUAGAUACCCUGGUAGUCCACGCCUUAAACGAUGAUUACUAGGUGUGGGGGGACUGACCCCUUCCGUGCCGGAGUUAACACAAUAAGUAAUCCACCUGGGGAGUACGGCCGCAAGGUUGAAACUUAAAGGAAUUGACGGGG
This 396-nucleotide ribosomal RNA is filed under the name uncultured bacterium. RNAcentral's name for it is "partial 16S ribosomal RNA". It matches the Rfam family "Bacterial small subunit ribosomal RNA", at positions 523 to 918 of the family's 1533-position model. The record is from RNAcentral.